GUUGACCUCAGAUCAGGUAGGAAUACCCGCUGAACUUAAGCAUAUCAAUAAGCGGAGGAAAAGAAACCAACAGGGAUUGCCCUAGUAACGGCGAGUGAAGCGGCAACAGCUCAAAUUUGAAAUCUGGCGCAAGCCCGAGUUGUAAUUUGUAGAGGAUGUUUCUGGCGAAGUGCCUUCCGAGUUCCCUGGAACGGGACGCCAUAGAGGGUGAGAGCCCCGUACGGUUGGAUGCCUAGCCUCUGUGAAACUCCUUCGACGAGUCGAGUAGUUUGGGAAUGCUGCUCUAAAUGGGAGGUAUACGUCUUCUAAAGCUAAAUACCGGCCAGAGACCGAUAGCGCACAAGUAGAGUGAUCGAAAGAUGAAAAGCACUUUGAAAAGAGGGUUAAAAAGUACGUGAAAUUGUUGAAAGGGAAGCGUUCAUGACCAGACUUGGGCAGGUUGAUCAUCCGUGGUUCUCCGCGGUGCACUCUGCCUGCCCAGGCCAGCAUCAGUUCGCCCCGGGGGAUAAAGGUUUCGGGAAUGUGGCUCCUCCGGGAGUGUUAUAGCCCGUUGCGUAAUACCCUGGGGUGGACUGAGGUUCGCGCUCCGCAAGGAUGCUGGCGUAAUGGUCAUCAACGAC
RNAcentral lists this ribosomal RNA (620 nucleotides) under Myrothecium sp. BBA69174. RNAcentral's name for it is "eukaryotic LSU rRNA". It matches the Rfam family "Eukaryotic large subunit ribosomal RNA", at positions 1 to 648 of the family's 3401-position model. Lineage: Eukaryota; Fungi; Ascomycota; Sordariomycetes; Hypocreales; Stachybotryaceae. The record is from RNAcentral.